RNAcentral lists this ribosomal RNA (187 nucleotides) under uncultured bacterium. RNAcentral describes it as "partial 16S ribosomal RNA". It matches the Rfam family "Bacterial small subunit ribosomal RNA", at positions 338 to 522 of the family's 1533-position model. The record is from RNAcentral.
CCUACGGGAGGCAGCAGUGAGGAAUAUUGGUCAAUGGAGGCAACUCUGAACCAGCCAUGCCGCGUGCAGGAUGACUGCCCUAUGGGUUGUAAACUGCUUUUGUCAGGGAAUAAACCUUUCCACGUGUGGGAAGCUGAAUGUACCUGAAGAAUAAGGAUCGGCUAACUCCGUGCCAGCAGCCGCGGUA